AUUGAACGCUGGCGGCAGGCUUAACACAUGCAAGUCGAGCGGAGCGAGGGUGCUUGCACCUUAGCUUAGCGGCGGACGGGUGAGUAAUGCUUAGGAAUCUGCCUAUUAGUGGGGGACAACAUUCCGAAAGGAAUGCUAAUACCGCAUACGCCCUACGGGGGAAAGCAGGGGAUCUUCGGACCUUGCGCUAAUAGAUGAGCCUACAUCGGAUUAGCUAGUUGGUGGGGUAAAGGCCUACCAAGGCGACGAUCUGUAGCGGGUCUGAGAGGAUGAUCCGCCACACUGGGACUGAGACACGGACCAGACUCCUACGGGAGGCAGCAGUGGGGAAUAGUGGACAAUGGGCGGAAGCCUGAUCCAGCCAUGCCGCGUGUGUGAAGAAGGCCUUUUGGUUGUAAAGCACUUUAAGCGAGGAGGAGGCUACUUAGAUUAAUACUCUGGGAUAGUGGACGUUACUCGCAGAAUAAGCACCGGCUAACUCUGUGCCAGCCGCCGCCGUAA
RNAcentral lists this ribosomal RNA (501 nucleotides) under uncultured bacterium. RNAcentral's name for it is "partial 16S ribosomal RNA". It matches the Rfam family "Bacterial small subunit ribosomal RNA", at positions 30 to 523 of the family's 1533-position model. The record is from RNAcentral.